AUUGAACGCUGGCGGCAUGCCUUACACAUGCAAGUCGAACGGCAGCACGGGAGCAAUCCUGGUGGCGAGUGGCGAACGGGUGAGUAAUAUAUCGGAACGUGCCCAGUCGUGGGGGAUAACGUAGCGAAAGCUACGCUAAUACCGCAUACGAUCUAUGGAUGAAAGCGGGGGAUCGCAAGACCUCGCGCGAUUGGAGCGGCCGAUAUCAGAUUAGGUAGUUGGUGGGGGUAAAAAGCCUACCAAGCCUUCGAUCUGUAGCUGGUCUGAGAGGACGACCAGCCACACUGGAACUGAGACACGGUCCAGACUCCUACGGGAGGCAGCAGUGGGGAAUUUUGG
This 339-nucleotide ribosomal RNA is filed under the name uncultured bacterium. Its description in RNAcentral is "bacterial SSU rRNA". It matches the Rfam family "Bacterial small subunit ribosomal RNA", at positions 30 to 367 of the family's 1533-position model. The record is from RNAcentral.